GCAACCCAUGAUGACUUUUUAUUGGAACCUAGAUAUUUUUGUGUUAUGAGAUUGAAUCAAAAUUUAAACUUCUGUUUUAACUUUCUGUGAACUGCUUUGGCAUGGGAAGGGGAGGUGGGACUUCAUGACCCUCCUCCACCAGCUCUAAUCUCUGGCUUUGAGAUUCCCCCCUCUGCAAUGCUCCCUACAGCACAGUGCAGGAAACUAUCUCUAGGUUCGUGGCCAUUCUGAGUUAAUUUUUGUAUAAGGUGUUAGAUGUAGGUUAAGUUUUAUUUUGUGCCUAUUGCUCUAGCAUUUGUUGAAAAGGCUGUCUUUCCUCCAUUGAAUUGUUUUGGUAUCUUUGUCAAAAAAAAAAAAAAAAGAGUUGGGCACAACUCUCAGUAAACUGAGGCUAUCAUAGGGCUCAUCUCAUUUAUUUCCCUUUUUUCAUUUUACGAAGUUCUGUACUACUUGCUUUUCAAUAUCCAUAAACAUUUUUUAUAAUUUUGUCUGGUUUUUUAGUUGUUUAUAAUGGGAAGGUGAUUUCUGUCGGUGGAAGUAGAAGUCUUCCCGAACCAGUUUUUCAGCUGGAAACAACUGAUGUAAGAGGCUAGGCCCCUAGAACAGCAUGACCCUCUUGCAGGUCCAGCAUAAUAUGUCCUGGACCAUAUGGACAUUCCACAGAUCAUCACAUUACUUCAUUCAAGGUAAUAAUUCCCCUGGUCCUAUAAGGACUCACGACCAUUCGCUUAAUACAUGCUGGAGAAAGAGGCACAACCAUUUGAGAAACUGUUGUAUACAGGGUCUUAUCUGAUCCUGAUGUCCAUGGAUCUGAAGCAUCAUCAUGGCCUCCUGGUAGAGUGGCAGUGUAUGGGGAUGGGGUGACAAAUGUAUUCCAGACCCAGGUCUAGCUCUCAGUGGUCCUACUGGGUUCGUAGAUCCACCCAGCGGUCAUUUCACUGGUCCUUAAUGGGUAACUGAGAUGGAUAUAUUUGAUAGUUGGCAGAACUACACUAACCAUGAUAGGGUUAGAAAGGCCAGCACGAAGCUCCUGAAGUUGCUGCUACCAUCUCAGGCCAAGAUAAUAAAAACUACCAUAGUAGUGGCCCUCUUGCAGAUCUAAAGGAUGCAGGGAUGGUGGGCCCAUUAAAACACUAUUUAAUUCACUAGUCUGGUCCCUGGUAAAAUCAGAAAGUUCUUGGAAGAUCUCAAUCAUUUCAAUUGUAUCUGCUGUGCUAAAUGCUAAAUGUGGUGUCUUUGCUAGAGAUUAACACAGCCGCAGGUACAUGAUAGGUGGCCAUUAAUCUGAGCAAUAUAUUCUUUUCCAUCUCUGUAAGAAAGGACCAUAAAAAGUACUUUCACUACUGGGAUGAGCAGGAAUAGUCUUGCACCUGGACCAUGUAAAACCUCCCACCCUGUCAUAAUAUGUCCUGGACCAUAUGGACAUUCCACAGAUCAUCACGUUACUUCAUUGAUGACAUCAUGGUAAUUGUACAGGAUGAGCAAGAAAUGGCAAGUGCACUAGAAGCCUUGAUAGGAUAAACAUCCUUCAAGUAGUGGUACAUAAAACUGCAAAUACCCAGUAAUGUUUUUAGAGGUCCAGUGGUCUGGACCAUGCCAGGAUGUUCCCUCCAAAGUAAAGGAGAAAUUUUACUUCUCACAUCUCACUCCCAAGAAGGGAACACAGUGCCUGACAAACCUCACUGGGGUCUACAGACAGCAUAUUCCACACUUGGAAAUACUGUUCUGACACAUGUAUCAAUUCUGAUAAUGGACAGAUGCAGUCAUGGCCUGCAAGGGCAUAAUGACCAGGUACCUUAUCAGGUAACCUAUUUGGACCAGAAGUACAAGUUGAGGGGGUGUGGGUAGGAAUCUAGAUGGGGAGUAGAGAAGGGAGAUGAGUACCAGUGCAGACAGGGUAAGUUACAGCAGCAGGGGCUACGGCCUGUCUCAGACCUUCCUCUGUUAACCAGUUUUCCCAGGAAAAGAGGCCCAUCAAAUCCUGAAGGGAUCACUCUAGAACUCAAGAAACAAUGGAUCCGAACAGCACGAAAGGUGGACUAUAGUGAAGACCUAGUGUGCUGCCCAGAUUCCCCGCUUCAGGACUGAAGCACUCAUUUCCCAAGCUGCUGAGAAUGCGGACGGUGCUCUUCUGAGUCCCCUUGGGAGCUGCCUUUUUCGGAAGUCAGACACCUCAGCCAAGGACAUGGCCCCUUUUUAGCCAAUGUGGGGGUACGUAUGUGGCCACUUGCCUCAAUAGAGUACACAUUUCCACACAGCCAUCCUAGCUUGAGUGAGAGGGACUGACGGAGGUCUUUGUUGAGACCAGCUUAACCUCCUCCUCUACCGAAUCCUGCUUCCUGUACUCCCCCGAAGGUGUCAACCCAGUCUAAGAUCGCUUCAUCAUAAACUUCCUGCACACAAAUUUCCAAUUCAGUCUGUUUCGCCAGGAACUUACACUAUGACAAAUAUUUAAACACUUUGGAGACGAGCUGUGUGGAAUGUUGUGGUUGUUGCUCAGGCAAUUUCAGAGAUGUUCUGAUGGGGACAUGGUGGUGUGGAAAGAUGUGUUAAAUGAGCUUUUCACCAGUUACAGUAGGGAUGAAGAUCACUGAAAUGGCAGAUUUCAAACAUCAGUCGUAAGUUUCAACACCUUGAGUUAUGGAGUCUGCUGGCUAGUGUGUGGCUGGCUAGUUUUCAGCGCAACUGAUGAUAGACUUCUAUCAGUUGGGAUGGCCUCAUGUGAAUCAAAGUGCUUAACGGACUCAUAGUGGUAGGUGAGCUCAAACAUUAGGUUAGAAACUAGUCUCUCUGAGCUUCUGAUAAAGACAGCAAAGAGUCAUAAAUUGUGUGACCUCACAUUGUAUUGGAGUGACUAGCACAAUCCAUUUGUCAGCAGUUGGAUUUUUCUACUCGUAGACCUUGAACUUAGGCAGAAUUAUCUACUUCCCUUAUCUCCUAUCAAGAUACCUGUUCCAUAAUUACCCAAUGACUAGCCCUAUAUCUUAACCUUGCUCUGGAAACCAAGAUGCCAUCUUUUUCAAAAUUUCAGGGUUACAGAAACAAACACCAAACCCCAGUAGCUCAAGAGUACAACCUACUUGGAAGUUCUGCCCCCAGUCUACUCAUGCCCAGUAAACAGCAUCUAAGAACACAA
This is a long non-coding RNA of Felis catus (domestic cat), 3136 nucleotides long. RefSeq lists it as uncharacterized. The transcript has 2 exons. Lineage: Eukaryota; Metazoa; Chordata; Mammalia; Carnivora; Felidae. The record is from RefSeq and is a predicted model, not a curated record.